CAGCCCCUCGAGUGGUGGGGAUGAUUAUUUGGCCUAAAGCGUCCGUAGCCGGCCGUGUAAGUCUCCCGUUAAAUCCAGCGUCUCAAGCGUUGGACUGCGGGAGAUACUGUACGGCUAGAGAGUGGGAGAGGUCAGCGGUAUUCUGGGGGUAGGGGCGAAAUCCUUUGAUCCCCGGAGGACCACCAGUGGCGAAGGCUGCUGACUAGAACACGUCUGACGGUCAGGGACAAAAGCUGGGGUAGCGAACCGGAUUAGAUACCCGAGUAGUCC
RNAcentral lists this ribosomal RNA (270 nucleotides) under uncultured archaeon. RNAcentral's name for it is "partial 16S ribosomal RNA". It matches the Rfam family "Archaeal small subunit ribosomal RNA", at positions 477 to 747 of the family's 1478-position model. The record is from RNAcentral.